This 784-nucleotide non-coding RNA is filed under the name Sarcophaga pauciseta. Lineage: Eukaryota; Metazoa; Arthropoda; Insecta; Diptera; Sarcophagidae. The record is from RNAcentral.
AAAAAAGUUUUAUUUUGGCUUAUAAAUUUAUUAUUAGUUUAAUUUAUAUGUAAAUUUUUGUGAGAAUAUUUAUUUAUUUAAAUAGUAAGUAAUUUUUAAUUAAAUCGCAGUAAUUAGUAUUAUUAAUUAAAGAAAUUUAGAGAUAGUAAUAUUAAAUAGUAUUGGUUAAAUUUGUGCCAGCAACCGCGGUUAUACGAAUAAUACAAAUAAAUUUAUUUAGUUUAAGUUAAAUUGAUUUUAUAGAAUAAAAAUAAAUUUAUUAGGUGAAAUUUUAAAUUUAUAGUUAUUUUUUAAUUAAAUGAUUGAAUCUUAUAAAUUUUAAUAGUAAACUAGGAUUAGAUACCCUAUUAUUUAAAAUGUAAUUUAAAAGACUAAGGCAGUAGUAGUUAUGAUCUUGAAACUUAAAAAAUUUGGCGGUAUUUUAGUCUAUUCAGAGGAACCUGUUUUAUAAUCGAUAAUCCACGAUGGACCUUACUUAAGUUUGUAUCAGUUUAUAUACCGUCGUUAUUAGAAUAUUUUAUAAGAAAGUUAAUUUUCAAAAAUUUUAAAAAGAAAGUAUAUCAGAUCAAGGUGUAGCUAAUGUUUAAGUAAAAAUGGGUUACAAUAAAAUUAUUUAUAUGAAUAUAAAUUUGAAAAAUUUAUUGAAGGUGGAUUUGAUAGUAAAAUUAUAAAGAUUAAUAAUUUGAUUUUAGCUCUAAAAUAUGCACACAUCGCCCGUCACUCUUACUAUUAAGGUAAGAUAAGUCGUAACAUAGUAGAUGUACUGGAAAGUGUACCUAGAAUG